GAUGAACGCUGGCGGCGUGCCUAAUACAUGCAAGUCGAGCGAACAGAUGAGGAGCUUGCUCCUCUGACGUUAGCGGCGGACGGGUGAGUAACACGUGGAUAACCUACCUAUAGGACUGGGAUAACUUCGGGAAACCGGAGCUAAUACCGGAUAAUAUAUUGAACCGCAUGAUUCAAUAGUGAAAGACGGUUUUGCUGUCACUUAUAGAUGGAUCCGCGCCGCAUUAGCUAGUUGGUAAGGUAACGGCUUACCAAGGCAACGAUGCGUAGCCGACCUGAGAGGGUGAUCGGCCACACUGGAACUGAGACACGGUCCAGACUCCUACGGGAGGCAGCAGUAGGGAAUCUUCCGCAAUGGGCGAAAGCCUGACGGAGCAACGCCGCGUGAGUGAUGAAGGUCUUCGGAUCGUAAAACUCUGUUAUUAGGGAAGAACAAAUGUGUAAGUAACUAUGCACGUCUUGACGGUACCUAAUCAGAAAGCCACGGCUAACUACGUG
RNAcentral lists this ribosomal RNA (497 nucleotides) under uncultured bacterium. RNAcentral's name for it is "partial 16S ribosomal RNA". It matches the Rfam family "Bacterial small subunit ribosomal RNA", at positions 28 to 507 of the family's 1533-position model. The record is from RNAcentral.